UGGAGGAGCAGGGGUGAUGAUGUAGCUGACCUAUCAUGGAGGAGCAGGGUGAUGAUGUAGCUGACCUAUCAUGGAGGAGCAGGAUGAUGAUGUAGCUGACCUAUCAUGGAGGAGCAGGGGUGAAAAUGUAGCUGACCUAUCUUUGAGGAGCAGGGGUGGUGAUGUAGCUGACCUAUCAUGUAGGACCAGGAUGAUGUAGCUGACCUAUCAUGGAGGAGCAGGCUGAUGAUGUAGCUGACCUAUCAUGGAAGAGCAGGGUGAAGAUGUAGCUGACCUAUCAUGGAGGAGCAGGAGUGAUGAUGUAGCUGACCUAUCAUGGAGGAGCAGGGGUGAUGAUGUAGCUGACCUAUCAGGGAAGAGCAGGAGUGAUGAUGUAGCUGACCAAUCAUGGAGGAGCAGGAUGAUGAUGUAGCUGACCUAUCAUGGAUGAGCAGGAUGAUGAUGUAGCUGACCUGUCAUGGAGGAGCAGGAUGAUGUUGUAGCUAAUCUAUCAUGGAGUAGCAGGAUGAUGAUGUAGCUGACCUAUAAAGGAGGAGCAGGGUGAUGAUGUAGCUGACCUAUCAGGGAGGAGCAGGAGUCAUGAUGUAGCUGACCUAUCAUGGAGGAGCAGGAGUGAUGAUGUAGCUGACCUAUCAUGGAGGACGAGAAUGAAGUAGCUGACCAAUCAUGGAGGAGCAGGGGUGAUGAUGUUGCUGACCUAUCAUGGAUGAGCAGGGGUGAUGAUGUAGCUGACCUAUCAUGGAGGAGCAGAAUGAUGUAGCUGACCUAUCAUGGAGGAGAGGGGUGAUGAUGUAGCUGACCUAUCAUGGAGGAGCAGGAUAAUGAUGAAGCUGACCUAUCAUGGAGGAGCAGGGGUGAUGAUGUAGCUGACCUAUCAUGGAGGAGCAGGGGAGAUGAUGUAGCUGACCUAUCAUGGAGGAGCAGGAGUGAUGAUGUAGCUGACCUAUCAUGAAGGAGCAGGAUGAUGUAGCUGACCUAUCAUUGAGGAGCAGGGGUGAUAAUGUAGCUGACCUAUCAUGGAUGAGCAGGUGUGAUGAUGUAACUGACCUAUCAUGGAGGAGCAGGGGUGCUGAUGUAGCUGACCUAUCAUGGAGGAGCAGGGGUGAUUAUGUAGCUGACCUAUCAUGGAGGAGCAGGGAUGAUGAUGUAGCUGACCUAUCAUGAGGAGCAGGAUGAUGUAGCUGACCUUUCAUGGAGGAGCAGGAGUGAUGAUGUAGCUGAUCUAUCAUGGAGGAGCAGAAUGAUGUAGCUGACCUAUCAUGGAAGAGCAGGGUGAUGAUGUAGCUGACCUAUCAUGGAUGAGCAGGCUGAUGAUGUAGCUGACCUAUCAUGGAAGAGCAGGGUGAAGAUGUAGCUGACCUAUCAUGGAGGAGCAGGAUGAUGAGGUAGCUGACCUAUCAUGGAGGAGCAUGGGUGAUGAUGUAGUUGACUUAUCAUGAAGGAGCAGGAUGAUGUAGCUGACCUAUCAUUGAGGAGCAGGGGUGAUAAUGUAGCUGACCUAUCAUGGAUGAGCAGGGGUGAUGAUGUAGCUGACCUAUCAUGGAGGAGCAGAAUGAUGUAGCUGACCAAUCAUGGAGGAGCAGGGGUGAUGAUGUUGCUGACCUAUCAUGGAGGAGCAGGGGUGAUGAUGUAGCUGACCUAUCAUGGAGGAGCAGAAUGAUGUAGCUGACCUAUCAUGGAAGAGCAGGGUGAUGCUGACCUAUCAUUGAGGAGCAGAAUGAUGUAGCUGACCUAUCAUGGAAGAGCAGGGUGAUGAUGUAGCUGACCUAUCAUGGAGGAGCAGGCUGAUGAUGUAGCUGACCUAUCAUGGAAGAGCAGGGUGAAGAUGUAGCUGACCUAUCAUGGAGGAGCAGGAUGAUGUAGCUGACCUAUCAUGGAAGAGCAGGGUGAUGAUGUAGCUGACCUAUCAUUGAGGAGCAGGGGUGAUAAUGUAGCUGACCUAUCAUGGAUGAGCAGGGGUGAUGAUGUAACUGACCUAUCAUGGAGGAGCAGGGGUGCUGAUGUAGCUGACCUAUAAUGGAGGAACAGGGGUGAUGAUGUAGCUGACCUAUCAUGGAGGAGCAGGGGUGAUGAUGUAGCUGACCUAUCAUGAGGAGCAGGAUGAUGUAGCUGACCUUUCAUGGAGGAGCAGGAGUGAUGAUGUAGCUGAUCUAUCAUGGAGGAGCAGGAUGAUGAUGUAGCUGGCCUAUCAUGGAGCUGCAGGGGUGAUGAUGUAGCUGACCUAUCAUGAAGGAGCAGGAUGAUGUAGCUGAUCUAUCAUGGAGGAGUAGGAUGAUGAUGUAGCUGACCUAUCAUGGAGGAGCAGGAUAAUGAUGUAGCUGACCUAUCAGGGAGGAGCAGGGGUGAUGAUGUAGCUGACCUAUCAUGGAGGAGCAGGGGUGAUGAUGUAGCUGACCUAUCAUGGAGGAGCAGGGGUGAUGAUGUAGCUGACCUAUCAUGGAGGAUCAAGGUGAUGAUGUAGCUGACCUAUCAUGGAGGAGCAGGGGUGAUGAUGCAACUGACCUAUCAUGGAGGAGCAGGGGUGAUGAUGUAGCUGACCUAUCAUGGAGAAGCAGGGGUGAUGAUGUAGCUGACCUUUCUUGGAGGAGCAGGGGUGACGAUGUAGCUGACCUAUCAUGGAGGAGCAGGGGUGAUGAUGUAGCUGACCUAUCAUGGAGGAGCAGGGUUGAUGAUGUAGCUGACCUAUCAUGGAGGAGCAGGGGUGAUGAUGUAGCUGACCUUUGAUGGAGGAGCAGGGGUGAUGAUGUAGCUGACCUAUCAUGGAGGAGCAUGGGUGAUUAUGUAGUUGACCUAUCAUGAAGGAGCAGGAUGAUGUAGCUGACCUAUCAUUGAGGAGCAGGAGUGAUAAUGUAGCUGACCUAUCUUGGAUGAGCAGGGGUGAUGAUGUAACUGACCUAUCAUGGAGGAGCAGGGGUGCUGAUGUAGCUGACCUAUAAUGGAGGAACAGGGGUGAUGAUGUAGCUGACCUAUCAUGGAGGAGCAGGGGUGAUGAUGUAGCUGACCUAUCAUGAGGAGCAGGAUGAUGUAGCUGACCUUUCAUGGAGGAGCAGGAGUGAUGAUGUAGCUGAUCUAUCAGGGAGGAGCAGGAUGAUGAUGUAGCUGGCCUAUCAUGGAGCUGCAGGGGUGAUGAUGUAGCUGACCUAUCAUGAAGGAGCAGGAUGAUGUAGUUGAUCUAUCAUGGAGGAGUAGGAUGAUGAUGUAGCUGACCUAUCAUGGAGGAGCAGGAUAAUGAUGUAGCUGACCUAUCAGGGAGGAGCAUGGGUGAUGAUGUAGUUGACCUAUCAUGGAGGAGCAGGGGUGAUGAUGUAGCUGACCUAUCAUGGAGGAGCAGGGGUGAUGAUGUAGCUGACCUAUCAUGGAGGAGCAGGGGUGAUGAUGUAGCUGACCUAUCAUGGAGGAGCAGGGGUGAUGAUGUAGCUGACCUAUCAUGGAGGAGCAGGGGUGAUGAUGUAGCUGACCUAUCAUGGAGGAGCAGGGGUGAUGAUGUAGCUGACCUUUGAUGGAGGAGCAGGGGUGAUGAUGUAGCUGACCUAUCAUGGAUGAGCAGGAUGAUGAUGUAGCUGACCUAUCAUGGAGGAGCAGGGGUGUUGAUGUAGCUGACCUAUCAUGGAGGAGCAGAUUGAUGUAGCUGACCUAUCAUGGAGGAGCAGGGGUGAUGAUGUAGCUGACCUUUGAUGGAGGAGCAGGGGUGAUGAUGUAGCUGACCUAUCAUGGAUGAGCAGGAUGAUGAUGUAGCUGACCUAUCAUGGAGGAGCAGGGGUGAUGAUGUAGCUGACCUAUCAUGGAGGAGCAGAUUGAUGUAGCUGACCUAUCAUGGAGGAGCAGGAGCGAUGAUGUAGCUGACCUAUAAUGGAGGUGCAGGGGUGAUGAUGUAGCUGACCUAUCAUGGAGGAGCAGAAUGAUGUAGCUUACCUAUCAUGGAGGAGCAGGGGUGAUGAUGUAGCUGACCUAUCAUGGAGGAGCAGGGGUGAUGAUGUAGCUGACCUAUCACGGAGGAGCAGGGGUGAUGAUGUAGCUGACCUAUCACGGAGGAUCAGGGUGAUGAUGUAGCUGACCUAUCAUGGAGGAGCAGGGGUGAUGAUGCAACUGACCUAUCAUGGAGGAGCAGGGGUGAUGAUGUAGCUGACCUAUCAUGGAGGAGCAGGGUUGAUGAUGUAGCUGACCUAUCAUGGAGGAGCAGGGGUGAUGAUGUAGCUGACCUAUCAUGGAG
RNAcentral lists this long non-coding RNA (4210 nucleotides) under Salmo salar (Atlantic salmon). RNAcentral's name for it is "lncRNA (ENSSSAG00000114320.1)". Lineage: Eukaryota; Metazoa; Chordata; Actinopteri; Salmoniformes; Salmonidae. The record is from RNAcentral.